This 414-nucleotide ribosomal RNA is filed under the name Clostridioides difficile. RNAcentral's name for it is "bacterial LSU rRNA". It matches the Rfam family "Bacterial large subunit ribosomal RNA", at positions 1665 to 2090 of the family's 2925-position model. Lineage: Bacteria; Bacillati; Bacillota; Clostridia; Peptostreptococcales; Peptostreptococcaceae. The record is from RNAcentral.
GGGUGAGGAGAGUAUCCUAAGGCCAGCGAGAGAACUGUGGUUAAGGAACUCGGCAAAAUGACCCCGUAACUUAGGGAUAAGGGGUGCCACCAUCAGGUGGCCGCAGAGAAUAGGCCCAAGCGACUGUUUACCAAAAACAUAGGUUUCUGCAAAGUCGCAAGACGAUGUAUCGGAGCUGACGCCUGCCCGGUGCUGGGAGGGUAAGGGGAUCUGUUAGAGCAAGCGAAGCAGUGAACUUAAGCCCCAGUAAACGGAGGCCGUAACUAUAACGGUCCUAAGGGAGCGAAAUUCCUUGUCGGGUAAGUUCCGACCCGCACGAAAGGCGUAACGAUUUGGGCACUGUCUCAACAACAGACUCGGUGAAAUUGUAAUUCCGGUGAAGAUGCCGGAUACCUGCGACAGGACGGAAAGACC